This is a long non-coding RNA of Papio anubis (olive baboon), 2359 nucleotides long. NCBI's taxonomy places the organism in Eukaryota, Metazoa, Chordata, Mammalia, Primates, Cercopithecidae. The record is from Ensembl.
CUUGAUUCAGUGAUUAAGCAUUAGUAAGUGUCUUUAAAUUUGCUUAGAUUUGAUAAGAAAAAGCCUGCUGGUUUGAUGAAAAAGUGACUUAUUCUAUUUUAUUUUUUAUACUUUAUUAUAACUUGACCACUGUCUAAAUAUUUGAGAACAUAUAAUUUUGUUUUUAACUAUAGCAUGCCUGGUGUGUAUUUGGGUUACACUUGCAUGGUCGAGAGCAGCAAUGGCAAAUGAGGUUCAUAUAAAAAAUAGCUAUCAGGGAGUAAAAGCCUAGUUCAGGUUUAAGAGACAGAGUGGGAAGAUCCAUCAUGAUGUAUGUCCUGGUUGAGAGGCCUAAGUGGCAACUUGCCUGUAUUAGCCAUCACUGAAAGGGUCCGGAAAUUUUGUAGUUUCUUGUUUAAAAUCUCACUUCUGUACUAUUUAACAGAACCAAAAUGUUAUGGCCUAAAUGUGACAAUUUUGUAUUAUAGAGUUUGAAUUUUGAGUUCUCUAAUAACAACAAAACAUUUCUACUGUGCUAGGAAGAAGUAAAGAAUUGCUGAGUCAUUGCUGAGUCACUCUUUGAACCCUGUUUGUUGCUAUUAAUAGAGGGAGCCAAGGUUAAUUAUCACCAGAAUGAGAGGAGUGUCAAUCUGUCUGCCAUAGCAUGGUACUCUGAACAAGCCCAAGUUCAGAAAAGAAAGGAAAACAAAUGUCAAAGUUUACUAGCAUAUGGAGAUUCUGUACUCCAGUCCCUAAGGAGGAGGGUUAUCCAAUCUGUCUUCAGCCCACCUUUGCUGAUUCUGCUCUCCUUCUUAAUGCUCUUUUGGUAAUAACUGAGCUCUUUCAACCAUUUGCCAGUCAGAAAGUCUUCGAAUCCACCUGUGACCUGGAAGCGCCCCUACUUUGAGUUGUUCACCACUCCGGACUGAACCAAUGUACACCUUACAUGUAUGGAUUGAUCUCUGCCUGUAACUUCUAUCCCUCUAAAAUGUAGAAAAUUAAGCUGUAAACCAGACAUCUUGGGCACAUGGUCUCAGAACCUUCUGGGUCUGUGUCAUGGUCAUGCUCCUCACAUUCGGCUCAGAAUAAAUCUCUUUAAAUAUUUACAGAGUUGGACUUUUUUCAUUGACACCAAGCAACCUGAAUCAAGCUAGUACAGACAGCACAGACUCUCAGAUGAAAACUCUUAAUGUAAUUAAUGGGAAAGCAACUUGGAAAACACAUAAUUUAUUAAUUUUUAUUUAUUUAUUUUUGCUUAAAUCCAUGUUUCCGUGAAACAUAUUUUAAUUUGCUAUGGCAUUUCUUAUUAUUUGUCUUCCUUUCAAGAUAAUAUAUCAUCCUGUUGUGCAACAAGGUUGUACAGCAAGGUGUGUACUUAAUAUCACUGAACUGUAUGCUUAAAAAUGGUUAAAAUGGUAAACUCCAUUUACAUUUUACAUCAAUUAAAACAAACAUACAAUUGCUGAUUAAUUCUCUCAUUUUAGAAAUGCUAACUUUAGUGAACUCAUCAGUAAAUGGUAUCUGGGAGCUCUCAGAUGAUAAAUAUUAUACGAUUCAAUGGGAAAUAACAAAUGUUUCAAUAUAAUAAACAGCCCAAAGAACUUUCAGUAUUUUAAUUGUAAGCAAUAUUUUGUUAAUGCUAGAAGAUUAGAGAAUUCUGUAAGGUACAUUAAAGGCAAACAGAUUUUGUGUCAUAUUCUUUUAUGAUUAUCUUUAUCAUGAUCAAGACUGGGUUUGAAUAUUAGCUAAAUGACAAUACCUUUUCAGAGUCUCAUUUUAACAUCUAAUUUUUAAAAAGUUGUAGGGUUCAAAAGAAUAUGUGAAUAUACAAUAAUGGGAUAAACAUGGAUUGUUUGUUAUCACUUAGACUCUUGAUUCAGUGAGGCUUGUUUUGAAUGCUGUGUUCAUCACUUACUGUGUGAUAAUCUCUAGGGCUCAGUUUCCUCAUGCACAAAAAUAGAAAAACAAUAGCACCUUUCAUUAUAGACGGUUACAUAGAUGAAAUAAUUUAAUAAAUCACUUGACACAGUACCUGAUACAUUGCAAAAAUUCAGAAAAAGGGUAAUUAUAAUACCUAGACCAAAUGAUGCUUUGAAGAUUUCAUGAGAUAGUAUGUGCAAAAUACGUAGCAUUGCCCAACAUAUUGUAGCAACUCAAUCAAUGCCAGGUAUUGAUGCCAUUAUUGUAUGUAUCAAAAUUUUAUGGUAGCAUCAUAUAUCAUCAUUCAGCCAUUUCCUUAAUCCUGCAUCACUGCAGCACUCUUGGAAUGCCCAGCUUCAUCCUAAUGUUUCUUUUUCUUCAUACUGAUCUUCUAGAAUACCACUUUCCUCAUUGACAGUUGUCUUUCCAGAAAUUUUCCAUGACUUUCCCUUGCCUGAUG